GCUUCUUCUUGGACACAACCCGGAAGUAAUAGAAAAGGCGGUUCGGUUGAAAUCUUCCCUGGAGCCACAAGGUCUAAAUUUGAAUUGCCAGGAGGUUCGGGUGGGGGUGAGAGCAGGGAGCAGAUGUCCGUGUGCAUAUAGAUCUGCCAAGUGGGUCCAGAGCGCCGGGGCAGCCACAUAGACACAAGGGCCCCAAAUGGUGUGACAAAGGAUGUGCAGGAAGCCCCUCUCCGCCUGGAUGAGCCCCAGAGUGGGUGCCAGCCUUUUAGAGCCAGAGUCUUGUGUUCUUCAGCAGGACGAUGAGGAACGAAGACUGAGUGUAAAGGACAGCGCUGAAAAGAAGAAGAAGCCAAUGAUAUUCAUUGAAUUAAAGAAAGAAAUAAUCAAAAAACAUGAAAGAGCGUUCACUUUGAGUGCACUAUACUGAAGCAAAAGGAGUCAAUAACGCCUACCAAGGAUUUUAACUUUAAUUUAUAGAUGGCAGGCAUUUAUUCAUGAAAAUAUGGAGAUGCUGCUGAUGGUGUGUUUGAUGGAAAAGCAACUCAAAGAAAUAUAGAAGAGGGCUGCUCUCCAAAUG
This is a long non-coding RNA of Nerophis ophidion (straightnose pipefish), 577 nucleotides long. RefSeq lists it as uncharacterized. The transcript has 3 exons. The record is from RefSeq and is a predicted model, not a curated record. Lineage: Eukaryota; Metazoa; Chordata; Actinopteri; Syngnathiformes; Syngnathidae.